CAGCCGCCGCGGUAAUACGAAGGGGGCUAGCGUUGUUCGGAAUUACUGGGCGUAAAGCGCACGUAGGCGGAUAUUUAAGUCAGGGGUGAAAUCCCAGGGCUCAACCCUGGAACUGCCUUUGAUACUGUCGAUCUGGAGUAUGGAAGAGGUGAGUGGAAUUCCGAGUGUAGAGGUGAAAUUCGUAGAUAUUCGGAGGAACACCAGUGGCGAAGGCGGCUCACUGGUCCAUUACUGACGCUGAGGUGCGAAAGCGUGGGGAGCAAACAGGAUUAGAUACCCCAGUAGUCCCUGUCUCUUAUAC
This 301-nucleotide ribosomal RNA is filed under the name uncultured bacterium. RNAcentral's name for it is "partial 16S ribosomal RNA". It matches the Rfam family "Bacterial small subunit ribosomal RNA", at positions 509 to 807 of the family's 1533-position model. The record is from RNAcentral.